AAACCAUGUUGCGGGUAUGCAUUGACAAGAUCCUUGAACCGCUCCCAACAUUGGAGGAAUGUUUUAUCUUACUUUUGGACAAAGUUUAUGAUUGAUUUUCUAAGGGU
Molecule: small nucleolar RNA, 107 nt
Organism: Magnolia sinica
Lineage: Eukaryota; Viridiplantae; Streptophyta; Magnoliopsida; Magnoliales; Magnoliaceae
Source: RefSeq, a predicted model, not a curated record